GUGAGAGUAGCUCAGUUGGCAGAGCGCCACCUUGCCAAGGUGGAGGCCGCGGGAUCGUGACCCGUCUCUCGCUCCA
Molecule: transfer RNA, 76 nt
Filed under: Mycobacterium intracellulare
Lineage: Bacteria; Bacillati; Actinomycetota; Actinomycetes; Mycobacteriales; Mycobacteriaceae
Description: tRNA-Gly
Rfam family: tRNA
About the family: Transfer RNA (tRNA) molecules are approximately 80 nucleotides in length. Their secondary structure includes four short double-helical elements and three loops (D, anti-codon, and T loops).
Source: RNAcentral